GGGGUUGUGGCUCAGUGGUAGAGCGCUCUCGUAACACGUGCGAGGUGCUGGUUUUGAUCCUCAGCACCACA
Molecule: transfer RNA, 71 nt
Filed under: Marmota monax (woodchuck)
Lineage: Eukaryota; Metazoa; Chordata; Mammalia; Rodentia; Sciuridae
Description: tRNA.Val
Source: RNAcentral